This 68-nucleotide transfer RNA is filed under the name Periophthalmus novemradiatus (dwarf Indian mudskipper). Its description in RNAcentral is "tRNA-Phe". It matches the Rfam family "tRNA". From Rfam's summary of the family: Transfer RNA (tRNA) molecules are approximately 80 nucleotides in length. Their secondary structure includes four short double-helical elements and three loops (D, anti-codon, and T loops). The record is from RNAcentral. Lineage: Eukaryota; Metazoa; Chordata; Actinopteri; Gobiiformes; Gobiidae.
GCCAGCGUAGCUUAGUUAAAGCAUAACACUGAAGAUGUUAAGACGGGCCCUAGAAAGCCCCGCAAGCA